RNAcentral lists this long non-coding RNA (691 nucleotides) under Homo sapiens (human). RNAcentral's name for it is "HSALNT0276114". The record is from RNAcentral. Lineage: Eukaryota; Metazoa; Chordata; Mammalia; Primates; Hominidae.
AACACCAAGGUUGCUUGUUUCUAAAUAAUGUUUAAGUCCAUGAACAGCUUUUUGCUAAUGUUUGGAGCAACUGAUAAAAUACAUCAAGCAAAGAAAAGUGUGGACACAUUCAUGCACACUGGAGAAGUAGCAGAGUGGUUUAAUUUUGUGUUGGAGAAUCAAAGGCCAGAAUGAAAGGCAGUUUUUACAUCCCAAAGGAAAAUUCCCAUUCAGAAAGACAUUGAUGGCUUUUUUAGCGGCAUCCAUUCAUCUGCUCUGCAAAGGCAUGGGGACAUGUGAUUUUGAGAGUACCGACUCUACUCCCAAUGCAUGGCAGUCAUGUAUAAUAAUUUAGGGGACAGUGACUCCAUUCACAGUUCCAGAGGUAAACACCCCUCCAAUUGACGAAACCAAUCAGAAAAUCCUACUCUUGCAUAGGACUGUUUCAGAGAUGGGCACAAAUCUCAUCCUAAGCCAAUCAGAGCACGGCACUUCCCUCGGCCAUGGCGAUUGAUUCAGAGAUGGGCAUGUGACUGGUUUGCUCAGUUAGAGUGAAACCUAGGAUUUUGUCUGAUAGUCGAGGUAAAGACACUUUUCUUCAGGAAGAUGUGGUGUAUGGAACUGUUCCAGACAUUUUGUCACCAUGAUAAAAGUGAGUCUGAAAAGUAAACCAUCAUGUUCAGGAAGGCAAAAUCAAGAGAACUGCAGAGCA